This is a long non-coding RNA of Apodemus sylvaticus (European woodmouse), 348 nucleotides long. RefSeq lists it as uncharacterized. Lineage: Eukaryota; Metazoa; Chordata; Mammalia; Rodentia; Muridae. The record is from RefSeq and is a predicted model, not a curated record. The transcript is spliced from 2 exons.
GGGCUGAACCACAGUGACUUUCAUCUCACCGGCCGACGCUAAAUUGCCAGCCGCUGCGGCGAGGAUGAUGGCCAUUGAGACUAUAGCCACUCAUCGCACGAUUCUGCAUUGUGCAGGCAGUCAUUUUUUAUUCCCGCGUGUUCAAAAUCAUUUGAGAAUCUACUUGAUGAGCCCCAGAUAGUUCAGUCCUUCCCCGUAGCGCCCGCCCGGAGAGGCAGAGGAACGCCUGCCAUCUUGGACGCAACUAUUUCUUAUCCAGAAUGGGGGAGCCACAUAUCCGUGUGAAUUUAUUUGCUACAUUAAAAAACCCUUUGGGCUAUAAAUAAACUCAUACAUAUUGAAAAUCAA